GUAUUUUUCCACGUCCUUAUGUAAUGGUUUACAUAACUUUGCUAGAAUUUUAAAUGUUGCAAUUGGAUUUGAUCUUAUCCGUUUCAAAUGGUUGACAUACAUUAUUUUUACAUGUCUGUAUUUAAUGGUCAACCAUAAACUUUUAAUCUUGGUAUACAUAUUUCAUGGCACAUAAUCGACAAAGUUCUACGGUACCAUUUCGAGUGCCUAGACCAACCAUUCAUUCAGAUGUGGAGGAUAUAAGCUCAACCAAAGUGGAUCCCAAUGCUAGUAAUUGUCAUGUGCGUUGGAGUGAUGCAAUGGAUGGUUGUAUGAUAACUGCACUACUGCAUCAAGUGUAGGCUGGUCACAAAAGGAAUGACAAUGGGUUUUCAUCACAUCACGUUUCCAAAGCAAUUGAGAGCGUGUAUAAUGAAUGUGAAGUCAUGGUCUCAGAUAAGAACGUGAGGGUGCGAUUGAAGACCCUAAAAAAGGAAUUUCUUGAAGUUCGCCAAUUGUUGAGUAUGAGUGGUUUUGGGUUAGAUCCUAACACUAGACGUGUCACAAUUGAUGUUAUAGCUUGGGAAGAGUUUUUGAAGGUAUAAUCUUCAUCAACCAACUACAUUACGAGGUAUUAUAUAUUAGUAGUAUAGUAUCUUUUGAACAUUGACCACGCAUGGCACAUAUUCUACUAUGUUUUCCUUUCUAGGAGAAACCGGAAUUCGAAAAGUGGAGGACCAAACUUUGUGCUCAUUAUGAUGAUAUGGAGGCUAUAUUUGGAAAUAACUCGCGUUGUAUCCGACAAUGAUAAU
RNAcentral lists this long non-coding RNA (791 nucleotides) under Olea europaea (common olive). Its description in RNAcentral is "long non-coding RNA (OEUR_LNC010092)". Lineage: Eukaryota; Viridiplantae; Streptophyta; Magnoliopsida; Lamiales; Oleaceae. The record is from RNAcentral.